Molecule: long non-coding RNA, 4739 nt
Organism: Marmota monax (woodchuck)
Lineage: Eukaryota; Metazoa; Chordata; Mammalia; Rodentia; Sciuridae
Exons: 3
Source: RefSeq, a predicted model, not a curated record
CUCCCUUGGCUGCCCUCAUUGGAAGAAAUCACUGUGCGGCUCACACUUCAGGAGUGGUUAGUUAGGUAUCCGGUCCUUGAGGGAGUGGAGCUGUGGUUGUUAUCUGGAAGUCCUCAGCCCUGAAGAUUCCUCUCUUCGCUCCAUGCCUAUUUAUUCAAUUAUCAAUUCAGAGCAGCAUGGACUCUCAGACAUUUAUUUUAUACUCUGGCACGUUCUUACCUUCUGGAAUUACAAGAUACACCAGGAGAAUCAGCCAUUUCUCCAAGGAUGGAAUGAGAUGGACAACUUCAAGGCAUGUUCUGCAGGCUCUCUUAGACUCUCCCACGGGGACUGAGCUCCAGCUGCCUAGACAGCAGGUAACCUCCUCAGUAACACCACCUUCAGCUUCCUGGGAUCCCCUCGCUGCCAACUAUUUGCUCUCACAUUCUUGUUCCAGCACCUGCUUGUCUCAAGCAGGUGAAGCAGUGAACCAGCAGAAAGCAGGGGACUGACUCUUGGUCUCCUGUUCCUGAACUGGAUCUGGACGUUUGUCCCUGUUGGGUCAGCAGAACUCCCUUCCCCUCCCCUUUCAUGGGGCUGUGGGCGGGGACUUUCCACCUGGCUGAGGGACCCAAAAUGGCCAAUCAGAAGCUGACAUGGCAACAAACCCCCAACCACCACAGGUUCUGCUGGCUGAGGCCAUUGCCCUGUCAAUUCAAAUCAGCCCUGACCAACCCGCGACAGACAGGAUCCCCCUAGACUCAGCUCAGCCAACCUGCUGUCGGUAGCUGCAAUUUACACGGCCUGGGCCCUCCUACCUCCAGCUUCCCUGGUUAGCACUGUUCUCGCCCUUCCCGCCCUUGACUUCCCGGCCCUCACCCUUUGGCGGCUGGUGAACCUCGCCCGGGAGCCCCCCAAUAAACCUCCUGAUCCUGCGCGCCCUUUCUGCUUUACACUUCUGUAUCAUGAAGUGAGCCUGCUCCAUCCGUCAUCCAAGAGACACCUGAAGCCACUGUCCUGAAGCCUAAGGUGUUAGGAAUAAUCAAGAUGAGACUGGCCUCAGGGCAAGUUGUGCUUAAAUGGCGGAUUGGACUUCUCUUAAAGCAGAGAUUCUAGGUGUUUCCGUCCAGCAGCCUCAGGAGGGGCGAGGACUCUGGCAGUGAGGUUGGGGCACAGCUGAGGCAGCCAUGAUAAGCAUAAACAUUCUGCAAGGCUUGUGUUUUAUCUCAAAACGGGUGCACCAUUUGUGUUCUAUUCUACAAUAUGUGUAACAUACAAAAAUAAGCCAGUGUGGGUGUCGCAUGCCUGUAAUUCCAGCAACUCAGGAGGCUGAGGCAGGAGGAUUGCAAGUUCUAAGCCAGCCUCAGCAACUUAGCGAGGCCCUAAGCAAGUGAGCAAGGAUUUCUAAACAAAAAACAAAAAGUCCUGGAGAGGAUGUGGCUCAGUGGUUAAGUGCCUCUGGGUUCAAUCCCUGGUAUAAUUCUUUUUAAAUAAUAGAAAAAUAAUAUUCAAUGCCUGGAAAUGAAAUUGACCAAAUCAAACUAUUAUAUGUACAUGUUUGAAGAUGUAACAAGGAAUCUCACUGUUGUCCAUAAUUAGAAUGCACUGAUAAUAAGGAAAACAAAACCAAAAAAUGAUGUUUGAAUUUACUGACCAUCAAGUAAGCGUGGGCUCCAGGAGGAGGCCCUGGUUUCCCUCCAUGCUGUCCAGCUGGGGGAGGUCAGCAGGGAGAGGAUAGGGUGCUGGAGGCCAUGGUCACUGUACUGAUCACACCUCCUCUUUCUUCAUUUAACUUGCGUGAGUGAUUUCUGCCUGUUGGCCACCCAGGGGCUAGACCACGACCUGCUGGACCCUUCUCCAGUUGUUGAAUAUUUGGUCCAUUCUGAUGGUAAACACAACUGUGAUGCUCAUCUUCAUAUAUAAAACUGGACACCAUUUUUUUGGUGAAUCUUAGGAGAGGACUGGCUCUGGAGCCAGAGUACCAAGCUUACUAGUGCUGCCCCUCCAGCAGUGGGACCGCAGUGACCUUGGGUAAGUGACAAGAGGCCACCCCUCAGUCUCUCAGGGUAUGGGAAAAGCCCAGCGCAGGAGCCCUGGGAGCCUGGGAGAGGACUCAGCUGAGGGGAGCUGGGCGGUCAGCGCCGUGGCCUGCUUGCCUUGGACCCUCCUCUCCAUCUGCUUUCUGCACUGAUACUGUGUCAGAGGCUGGGGUCUGGAACAUCUGCUGCUGCGGCUUCCUGCUUUUGUAGAGGAGGAGACAGAGGCCCACAGAGACACAGCCAGGAUCUCACAGAGACUCAGAGACCCUGAGAAUGAUGCCUCCAGGCCCAGUCUCCUCACCGUGCUGGACUGGAGGCCAAAGCCCCGCCCACUCUUGUUCUGAUGCUUGUAUCCCUUGCCCUCUCCCUUGCCCCAGGAUAGAGUCAGGCCUGGAGCCCUCCCGGAUGUGACCAGAAGACGGGCAGUUCCUGGGAGGACUGCAUGCGUGGCCUGGUGGGGGAGCGGUUCCCCAAACACAGAGCGGGCUGUUUGCAGAAGGGAGCUCCUACCCGGCACUGUCCUCAAGGGGCAUUUAAAUUGAGUGGACAGACUUGCUGCUCACUAAGGGGUGUCCUCAGACAAAGGCGACAUCCGACUAUGGAUAUGGGAACUGUGGUGAGCCUAGGCAGGUGCCAGCCCUGUGUCGGUCCCCAUGGGCACUGUCCCAGGGAAGGGAAGGCUCAGCUCCCUCAGCCACUGAUAAUGAACCCCAGAAACUCACAUCACCCUCACCCAACCUGGCUUCCUGUUUGUAAGCCUUUUGCUGUCCCUGAUCUUGUGAGUCCCUCACCCUGGGCUCAAGGGGAUGUCGGCCUUCUUUGCAUUUUAUAGAUGGGGAAGCUGAGCCUCGAAGACGUCACACGAAUUGCCCACGUGUGGCAGUCCCUAGGCACUGUUCCUAAACCCACCAAUGGCUUCUUCCGCCAGGAGCUGCAGCUCAGCCGAGAGCUUCCCCUGGCAGGAGGAACGCGCUCAGCCCGAGGUGACACCUCUAGAAACACCCCAAUUAUUGAAGCUCAGGAGCUGGGGAUGAAUCAAUACGGCAGCUUCUCAGCCUUCCAGCGGGUGCGCAGCUCUGAGGCAGGUUCAGCACCAUCCCAGGCAGUCAGUCCCCUGGGGAUGGCGUUCCAGUUGCCCGCGGUCGCAGCCCACUCCACGCACGCAGCAUUUCAGCUGCCUUCCGCCCUGCUUCUGCUCCUGGCUCCUGUGCAGCCUUCCAGGUCUCUGCCCAAGUCCCAGCCUUAGGUCUGCUGGGGAGGCUGGAGGGUGGGUGGGAAAUGACACUGGAACCCAGACACUUAGUCCCUUAGGAAUGCCAGGAUUCCAGCUCACACCCGAUUCCACUGUAGCUGUUUUCAGGACCUGGGCAGGAGCUCUGCAGUGAGCCAGAGGAGAGCCCUAAGUUGCGCACAGUUUGUGACCACAGUUAUGUCAACUUAGGUGUCCAGCUUGAGGGUGAGGGUAGGGAGCAGACACACCUGUGGAUGGUUGGGUUUGAGUGGUAGGAUUAGGGGUGGGCCUCUUCUGCCUCCCUGAUGAGCAUCAGUUUGGCGUGGGCUUGAGGCAUGGCUCCAUCGCGGUCCGGUGGCCAUUGGGAGCGUCAUCCCACGCCAGAGUGCUCAGAGGACAUGUGGGCAGCACCAGCUCACAUGGUCAGCUCAGCGCCCUCCCCUAGCUGCUCCCUGAGUCAACACCCACCUCCCAGCUAGUGUCCAGGCUGCAGGGGCUCUGGACAGCAAGGGCCUGGAAGCUGGAUGCUCAGUGCCUGGAUGACUCCAAGUCACCACCUCUUGGCCACAGAGGGGAAACACUUGGGGCUCUCCACUCUAGCGGCCACCUCCCACGUCUCAGUGUCAGGAGCAUCGUUGGCCUCACUGGUGCCCUAAUGGGGGGAGUUAGCCAGAGCUCGGUGUUGCUUUGUCUGAUGUGCAGGCGGAGCCCACCUGUGGUGGGAGACCCAGGAAGCAGGUAUGGCCACACUGUGUUUGGCUUAUUCAUCUCCCAAAUCAGGGCUGGUGAAACUUUACCCAGCCACCACUCUGUAGUGACCAUUUUUUAUGAAAAAUUUAGUGAGCGGAGAAGCAGUGGUUGCGCUGUGGGAAUGCUCCAUGCUUGGUGACAGUGGUAGAUGAAGCCUCUGGGAGAAGAGCAGCUCCCCCAGGGGUUUUGGGUACAGGGAGAAAUAUGUGGACCCCCCAAGACCCAGGAAACCUUGGAGACCUUCUUCCAGAAUUGCUCUUCCCAGACCCACCCUACUCUGUUCAUGAUCCAGCUGGCCAUGACCCGCACAGCCAUCAGUUCAGACACUGGAGAGGGGCCAUGGGGUGCUGGGAGCCAUUAGCCAAGUAGGUAUGACAAUUUCCUUGCCAGCGUACCCCAUGUUGCUUAGUGGAAGGACUCGUGGAAAUAGGACAUUUUGCAGUGACAUUGCAUCUAAGGUGACCUUGCUCAAGGACCAGGGCGGAUCCGGGUUUAGGGUGUUCCCGGUUUAGGAUAAUCCGGGUUUAGGGCGUUCCAGGUUUAAGGUUAUUCCUGCUGGGAAUAGGGCGUAUCCUGCUGCCUGAGUUCCCCUUGAGUUCUCACGGGAUUCAGACAGUAUUUUUUGGGAGACAGAAGCCCAGUGGGGGUGGAUUUGGGCAGAGAACGUGGAUUUCCCCAGAACGUGAUUGUAGACGGCUGGUGUGAGUUCGGGAAUAAAGAGUUGCUGUUUGAAUCUACAA